AGAAGAAGCACCGGCUAACUCCGUGCCAGCAGCCGCGGUAAUACGGAGGGUGCGAGCGUUAAUCGGAAUUACUGGGCGUAAAGCGCAUGCAGGCGGCCUGUUAAGUCAGAUGUGAAAGCCCGGGGCUUAACCCUCGGAAUUGCAUUUGAAACUGGCAGGCUAGAGUCUUGUAGAGGGGGUAGAAGUUUCAGGUGUAGCGGUGAAAUGCGUAGAGAUCUGAAGGAAUACCAGUGGCGAAGGCGGCCCCCUGGACCAAAGACUGACGCUCAGAUGCGAAAGCGUGGGGAGCAAACAGGAUUAGAUACCCUGGUAG
RNAcentral lists this ribosomal RNA (313 nucleotides) under uncultured bacterium. RNAcentral's name for it is "bacterial SSU rRNA". It matches the Rfam family "Bacterial small subunit ribosomal RNA", at positions 483 to 793 of the family's 1533-position model. The record is from RNAcentral.